Molecule: ribosomal RNA, 484 nt
Filed under: uncultured bacterium
Lineage: Bacteria
Description: partial 16S ribosomal RNA
Rfam family: Bacterial small subunit ribosomal RNA
Source: RNAcentral
AUUGAACGCUGGCGGCAGGCCUAACACAUGCAAGUCGAGCGGAUGAAGGGAGCCUGCUCCUGGAUUCGGCGGCGGACGGGUGAGUAAUGCCUAGGAAUCUGCCUGGUAGUGGGGGAUAACGUCCGGAAACGGGCGCUAAUACCGCAUACGUCCUGAGGGAGAAAGUGGGGGAUCUUCGGACCUCACGCUAUCAGAUGAGCCUAGGUCGGAUUAGCUAGUUGGUGGGGUAAAGGCCUACCAAGGCGACGAUCCGUAACUGGUCUGAGAGGAUGAUCAGUCACACUGGAACUGAGACACGGUCCAGACUCCUACGGGAGGCAGCAGUGGGGAAUAUUGGACAAUGGGCGAAAGCCUGAUCCAGCCAUGCCGCGUGUGUGAAGAAGGUCUUCGGAUUGUAAAGCACUUUAAGUUGGGAGGAAGGGCAGUAAGUUAAUACCUUGCUGUUUUGACGUUACCAACAGAAUAAGCACCGGCUAACUUCGUG